RNAcentral lists this ribosomal RNA (248 nucleotides) under uncultured bacterium. RNAcentral's name for it is "partial 16S ribosomal RNA". It matches the Rfam family "Bacterial small subunit ribosomal RNA", at positions 524 to 771 of the family's 1533-position model. The record is from RNAcentral.
UACGGAGGGGGCUAGCGUUGUUCGGAAUUACUGGGCGUAAAGCGCGCGUAGGCGGACCUGCAAGUCGGGGGUGAAAGCCCGAGGCUCAACCUCGGAACUGCCUUCGAUACUGCGGGUCUCGAGUCCGGGAGAGGUGAGUGGAAUUCCUAGUGUAGAGGUGAAAUUCGUAGAUAUUAGGAAGAACACCAGUGGCGAAGGCGGCUCACUGGCCCGGUACUGACGCUGAGGCGCGAAAGCGUGGGGAGCAA